Molecule: long non-coding RNA, 6659 nt
Organism: Dreissena polymorpha
Lineage: Eukaryota; Metazoa; Mollusca; Bivalvia; Myida; Dreissenidae
Exons: 16
Source: RefSeq, a predicted model, not a curated record
UGAACAUCUUCCAAUACUACAAGUCGCUCAAGAAAUUCAGCAUGCCACCUAUGACCAUCUCACACAAAUACUACAUGUCGGUCAAGAAAUUCUGCACGCCACCUAUGAACAUCUCGCACAAAUACUACAAGUCGCUCAAGAAAUUCAGCACGCCACCUAUGAAAAUCUCCCACAAAUACCACAAGUCGUUCAGGAAAUUCAGCACGCCACGUAUGAACAUCUCCCACAAAUACUACAAGUCGUUCAAGAAAUUCAGCACGCCACCUAUGAACAUCUCACAAAUACUACAAGUCACUCAAGAAAUUCAGCACGCCACCUAUGAACAUCUCCCACAAAUAAUACAAGUUGUUCAAGACAUUCAGCACGCCACGUAUGAUCAUCCCCUUGAAAUACUACAAGUCUUCAACAAAUUCAGCACGUCACCUAUGAACAUCUCACAAAUACUAUAAGUCGCUCAAGAAAAUCAGCACUCCAGGUAUUAACAUCUUGCACAAAUACUACAAGUCGCUCAAGCAAUUCAGCGUGUCACCUAUGAACAUCUUGCAUGGUGGCUUGGUGAGUCUGACUUCGGUCUUGACAAGUCGCUCAAGAUAAAAUAAUCGGAUCUAACAGACAGAGCAGGUGCUGAGUGACUCGUCUGUUAACUUGACUGACCUCGAUACGUUGCUCUCGAAUAAUGAGAACCUGACGCACGAGGAACAGUGCUGUCCAACAUUCCCAGUUUUUGGUUGGCGAAUUCACUGUCGGGACUCACACAAUCUCUGCCUAUAAGCAACAAAAACAGGUUUUCAGUAUACAGAUAUGCAACUGGAGUGAUGAUAUGCCCUGAAGAUAUUUAUUAAUUAUACCCCCUGUUAAUUGGGGUAUAAAGGAAUCCCCUUGGACGGACGUCUAUCUGUCUGUCUUUCCAUCUGUCUGUGGGCGUUCACUUAACGAUUCAACGUUCAGCUUUCAAACUUUCAGGACCCCAUGCAGUCACACAUCUGUACACAGCGGACAACAACAGGCUCUCUGGUCAGCUGGGCCCCUACAGGACCCCAUGCAGUCACACAUCUGUACACAGCGGACAACAACGGGCUCUCUGGUCAGCUGGGCCGUUACAGGACCCCAUGCAGUCACACAUCUGUACACAGCGGACAACAACAGGCUCUCUGGUCAGCUGGGCCGUUACAGGACCCCAUGCAGUCACACAUCUGUACACAGCGGACAACAACAGGCUCUCUGGUCAGCUGGGCCUGGACGCCCGGGGACAAAUCCUUGGUAUAGGCCGUGAGCUCUUGGGCCAGGAAUUUGGGGCAAAGCUGAAUGAGUCCUACCCCAAGGGUACAUCCAGUCUAACAAUGGGGCUCCAAACUUCCCUUCUCAGGGGCAGAUAUAACCUCAUCUACAAGGGCCCUAAUCAUCACAAGUUUGGCCCAGCAAAUGAUGUUCCUCAACUGCAACACAGCCACUGCAUCUCAACAGUCCAGAGUAUGGCUACAGCUCCGAAGUACGUGCAAUCUUUACAAUAUCAAGGCCAUUUUCGAAACUUCAAGUCUUCUACCAAAGUUUUAAGUUGAACUCAGUCUCUCUUGCAACAACAGAAGCUGUAGUUGAAGUGUGAAAGAGAGGAAGAGUUGACAUGAAAUUGCUGCUUCAGCCUUCAUUCGAACAUCAUCAGCAGCAGCAACAACAACACUUAAAAUUCAGCAAUCAACAGUUCAAUUGACGAAGGCUUUCACAUGAAAACAUGUCAAUUACCAACGCAUAUGUCCCUGAAAACCUGGCCAAGCUUAUAAACAGUGCUAAUGUGCCAAACGUGACCCUUCAGAGAAAUGGGAUUCCAGGACAAAUGUCAAACCGUUACCAAUCUGGGCUCCAGCAGCAGACUCGGCCGUUGUGGGCAGGUUUAUAAAGCACCCAUGGUCUCAAUGCUCUCUGAACAUCUCAAUCUCUCAGAAGCUUCAGUCGUGGGGGCAGGUUUAUGAUGUACCCAUGGCCUCACUGCUCUCUGAACUGGGUUUGAUUGGUAGAUGGUCAUCUUGUGACAAAGCCCUAACUUAUCAUUGGCUAAGUAACUUUUGCACAAUAUCCAAUUAAUCAUUCUGUAUCUCAUCACACAUGGGAAUUCAGAGGCUGUGUAGCUGAUAUUCUAUUCAGGGUUAUUAACUAACAUUGUGCCCUCAGUUGUGUAAAGUUGUGUGAAUAUCUUUGUUUAAAAAAAGGAGAACGCAUAAAACAUUUGCAUCACUUGUAAUCAAAAAUGUUCGAUGAAGGAACAAUCAUUUUGCAAUAUGACAAAUAUUCCAGAAUAUAUAUGUCUUUUGACGGAUCUUGGUCAGUGUCUAGCAGUAUCCAGGCAAACAAGUCAAGUCAGCAAAGCAGCAAUAAGAGCAGCAGCAGUCAAGCUGAGGGUCGCCCAAAACCACCCAGUGCCUUGCGAUGAAAACCUCCAACGGGACUGUGACCUUGCCCUUGUACUCACCUAAUCAUCAGGUUGAAGGUCACAUGGGCUUAGAUAGAUACUGCAGUAAGAAGAAACCAUGCAAGGUUUUAAAGUAAAGAAGAUGAGUUCACAAUAUGACAUCCGAGACUGCAGGGACAAAAUGAGUGUCCUCACUUCAGCAGUGGAGGCCAAUUUACAAUACGAGAGUUUCCAGCGGCUUACCUUAUCUGAAAACCUGGGUAGCAGAGUAAUUAGUAUAUCCCAGGAGCAUUUUCAGUCAUCUUCUCCAGAUUAUGAGAUCCCCAUGCUCCACAACCCUCAGUCUAUGAACAUCAUGCAGAGCGAACCUUGGGUUAGUUUUCCUUUUUCAUGGCCUUACUUUCAGAGAUUGACGUCCCUUGACGAAAUCAAACCAGCAAAUCAGAAGGAUAGCCUGCUGCUACCGUUGUUAUCAUAUUAACCCCAUACCGAAAAAGCUCAGAGAUAUAAAGGCUGUUUAAGAUGUGCUUGUCUCUACAUACCCCAUGUCUGGUGUGAACAUGUACAAUUGAAUGUCUCUACAUACUCCAUGUCUGGUGUGAACAUGUACAAUUGAAGGUCUCUACAUACUCCAUGUCUGGUGUGAACAUGUACACUUGAAGGUCUCUACAUACUCCAUGUCUGGUGUGAACAUGUACAAUUGAAGGUCUCUACAUACUCCAUGUCUGGUGUGAACAUGUACAAUUGAAGGUCUCUACAUACUCCAUGUCUGGUGUGAACAUGUACAAUUGAAGGUCUCUACAUACCCCAUGUCUGGUGUGAACAUGUACAAUUGAAGGUCUCUACAUACCCCAUGUCUGGUGUGAACAUGUACACUUGAAGGUCUCUACAUACUCCAUGUCUGGUGUGAACAUGUACAAUUGAAGGUCUCUACAUACUCCAUGUCUGAUGUGAACAUGUACAAUUGAAGGUCUCUACAUACCCCAUGUCUGGUGUGAACAUGUACAAUUGAAGGUCUCUACAUACCUCAUGUCUGGUGUGAACAUGUACAAUUGAAUGUCUCAUCUUUGAAAUUGGGACACAUGGAAAAUUAGUGAUUUGAUUCAGACAGAAAUCGCAUAGUGACAAAUCACAACAAAAAAUGGAAAGCCAGAAAGUCUUGUGGCCAGCAAUGUUUUUAUGUGACUUCUAAGUUGUGUUCAAAGAAAAACAAUAGUUCAUGUUUUAUUGGAACUAUGAUGCUGUCAGUCAUUUUAUGUUGAAGGCUUUAAAUAACUAUAUUUAAAUAUAAUAAGAUAAAGAUUUCUUGAUAAAAGCAAUAAUGUCAAAUAGUAUUUUAAGCGCAAAAUUUACAAGUCUAUCCAAUUACUGUGUCUGUAUUAUGACAUUUUAUUUUGGAAAUGUUAAGGAAAAUAUAAUGUUACUAUUAAAUAUAGGUCUAUGAAUGUUGAUUUUAACAUUUGUCAAAGCUGUUUAGAUGAUGCUGGUAACUUUGACAAAAUUUAAAGAAAUGUAUUAUUUUCAUGUAAUGAGAUGCUUCAGUUUUUUUGUGGCUUAACAUGUAAUAUAGAGGUGGUAGUCACAAGAAUUGUUAAGCCAGAUGGAGAAUGUUUAUGCUAUGGCUUUGAUACUCUUAAGUGUGCCCAUUGGUGUCAGAUUUUUAUCAAGAAUAUUUUUUAUUGUCUUACAAUUUCUUGAAAAUAUUGAUUAAUUUCAGACAAAAACAUUUAAUCUUCCUUAAAUUGUCUAUUCUGUAUUUACGACCAGUUAUUUAUUAAUUUGCAUGAAUUAGAUUUAUGAAUGACUUUUGUGUUGCUUAAAAAGCUUUAUUUGUUUUGAAACUGAGUAUUUAAAAACGAAAAUAUGAGGUGUAGGAAUAAUAGCGGAAGUUAUAAUAAUUAUUUUUUUGUUUUUGUAAAGUUUAUUAUGCUUUAUAUGUUUGUGUAUAGGCAUUUAGACGACCAGCUUAAUUUGACCAAUAAUUCGUGAUCACUGUAUAUAUCGGUCAGUACAUUUGUCACUUGUAUAUAGAGCGAUUGCGAAAUGAUCGUAUUGUUAAUGAAAAUCAUGCGUUUAUUACUGCCAUUUUGAUUUUCGCUGUUAACAUGUAUUUGUACAAACAAUUUUCAUCCUGUACAUCUUGUAGAUGCCAGAUAAUAAAAGCAAACAUUGCUUGUGGAGAUGCUCAUUUGACACUUUCUAAAUGAUACAGAACAACACAUUCUGAAGAGGCAAAUAUCCUUUAGACAAUAGGAACAUCUUGUUACUAGUAUAUGUAAUGCUUUUCAUUAAAUAAAGUCAAGCAACUAUUGAAAGAUUGGUUUAACUUUGUUUUGCAUUAUCUUAAGAAAAAUUAAUAUAUUCUACUUGGAAAUCAGUCAAUUGCAAAUCAAGCGAGAGUGAUUUAACAUGCUAACACUUGUCAAUAAUUGAAUUGUCUCUCUUUGUACAUAAAUAUAGGGAUGUUGUUGCUUGAAAAACAAAGUUGUAUCCGUUGUUAGAUAAUGCUUUUGUUCAUCUCUCAACAUAACAAGUACAUUCAUUUGUUCAUCUCUCAACAUAACAAGUACAUUCAUACAGUUAUUAAAAAUAUGACACUCUUAAUUCUCAGCCAUCAGUUUGUAUUGGGAUGUUGUGGAAUACUUACUAAACUAAUAUACGUCUGUUUAAUGAAUGAAUAGCUUUGGUACAAUAUGAUACUCAGUGUUACAAAACAUGUGUAAUAAAAAUAUAAUGUCAUUUAUUUGAAAUCAUAAAAUUUAGUUGUCCAUACAAUGCUUACAGUUUUGCAAUUGCGAUGAUAAAGGAAAUGUUCUGCUCAAAAUGUCUUUUUAAGACAUGUGAAAAUUGUAGCAAUCAUAUUGUACUUGUAUUUAUAUUAUACAUUAUAACAAUUUACUUACAGCUGAUGAUAGCGGCAGUUUACUAUUUGUGUUACAGUUUGUUCCACUCGACCAUCAGACCAUAUUUCCUUAAAAAUGUGAUUGUUAAUAUUGAACUGUAAUUGAAUGCAUGAAACAUGAUUGUUCUGUUGCUUAACAGCUGAAAAUAGCUUGAUGUUUGUAAAACUGUAUGAAAUGUUUCAAAUAAAUCAUUUUGAUUACAUAAAAAAAUAAAAUUACAUUUUGCGUUACUUUGAAUGCAUAACAAACAAUUGUUACCAUACAAUCAUAUUAGUAUUGAACUUAAUUAAUACUUUAACUUUAAGAUGCGAUUUUUACAAUAAUGUGUUAAUAUUUUCAUCCAUUCCAAAUAAGCAUUGUGCAUUCGUAAAUAUAGGGUGUAUAUACACUGCUUAGAUGCCUUUUUUAAAUUGCUUGUGUACGUCAUAUUGAUUAAAGACUCUUAUGUAUUGCAUAUUUGUGUGUGCCAAUGUCUUACUUAUUUCUUCACAGUCCUUAAAUUACUGCAAAUAGUACUUUAAGAAUGUUAAAAUAUUUAUCUUAACCCUUUCAGUGCGGGAACCUAAUUUUGAAGGCCUUUGCAAACAGUUUGAAUCCAGAUGAGACGCCACAGAACGUGGCGUCUCAUCAGGAUCCAAACUGUUUGCUAUUCUGAUAGUUUUCUUUGAAAAAAAUCAAAGAAAAUGCUAAUUUUAGAAAUUCAGCAGAUGACAUUUUAGCAGACGACAAAUUUCCCAACAUGCAAAGGGUUAACUAUAACCAGGUUAUCUGUUAAUUUAAGUUUCAUACAUAAUAUUUAGUGCUAAUAAAUCAGCACUAUUUAUUGAUUUUUUAUAUGGGCACUUCCCAUGACUUUAUUCGUGAAUGUUUCUUUGAAUGUGCGGUAGGGAAAACAUUGUUUGCUUGAAGGUUAGAAACUUAAUGUUGACAUCUUGAAAGAUGGCAGUAAACAUUUAACUGCAGAGUAGCUGGGAAAAAGAUUGCUGUUAAACAAUGUUAAACAGAACUCCAGCAAGAUAUGUCAUGCAUGCGAUAUGCAUGAACUAUCUUUUUAAAAUAAUUUGGAUCUGAAUUAUCUUUAAGAAAUGGUAUGGUUAUGAGGGUCUCUAUGUGCAAAAUGUUGCAUUUAUUUUGUGUACAAGUUAUUGCUUAAACAUUGAAUUUGUUGUGGAAAUAAUAUAGUUUAUGUGACUUAAAGAGAUAUACAUGUUUAUGUUAGUGAUGUGUUUUUGCUGAUCCAAGUCUGUUCCUACACACUAUUUAAAGUAGAUAACUACAAGUUAUCUCAUUUAAAUGGGAAAAGUAUUGUACUGUGAAAAAGUGUUGUGAGUUCAAAUAAAAAUACUAUGAAC